This is a long non-coding RNA of Cucumis sativus (cucumber), 839 nucleotides long. RefSeq lists it as uncharacterized. The record is from RefSeq and is a predicted model, not a curated record. The transcript has 2 exons. Lineage: Eukaryota; Viridiplantae; Streptophyta; Magnoliopsida; Cucurbitales; Cucurbitaceae.
GAACUUUGUUAAACAAACUUCAAAUUGGGAAUACCAAAAUGGUAUUAUAUAUGUAUGUAUUAUGAUUUUUGUUGUUGCUAUCUUCGGAUUUCUAUGGUGCAAAUCUAAAACCUAAAAAGAAAAAGGAAAAAAUAAAUUAAAAAGAAAAGGCUUUCUUUCUCUUUCUCUCUCAAUCUCUCUCUGUCGUACAGCUGCUAAUUGUCUGUGUUCUCUGGUUUUGUGUUUCGCCUUCUCCUCUUCCCGGGAAUCGAUACACUCUCAAUAAUCGACGAGGAGGAGGAGGAAGAAAGAACAACAACAUCAACAACGGAGCCACAACUAUCUCACUCCCUAACAACACUCCAACCUCGUUCAAGAACUGGGGAGGUUUUCUUUCUCACCUUCCGGCCACCGCCCAACAUUUACCGAAAAAAGAAAAAAGAAGAAGAAGAAGAAGAGAGAAUGCGGGACCCAGAUAGGAUUAGAGAUGGGUUGAGUGAUGGGCGGCACACGUGGCCAGCUACGUGGUAGUGGUGUGAUGCAAUCAAAGUGUUGGCAUCUGCCAGUCGGCACAAUGAUUGGGAUUAUUCUCCUUUCAUUAUUUUUAAUUUCCCCCAUUUUAAAAUCUAAUAAUCUUUAAUCAAAAUUAUGAAUUUUCAUCUCUUUUCUUUCUUAGUUUACAAUGCCUUCGCCUACAUGGCUGACGUACGCACCGUAACAUCCUUGCUGUCCUUUCCCCAUUGGUUCUACUUAUACUCAUUCUUUAUUUUAAAACACCUUGUAUUAUUAUUUGUACUAUUAUUGGUGAUAUGAUUUAGACAUGGUAACUGAUUUAAUUAUAUACUUUAUAAUUUACCUUC